Molecule: long non-coding RNA, 118 nt
Organism: Strigops habroptila (Kakapo)
Lineage: Eukaryota; Metazoa; Chordata; Aves; Psittaciformes; Psittacidae
Exons: 4
Source: RefSeq, a predicted model, not a curated record
AUGUGAGAAUGGUUCCUGCCUGGGUCACCCAAGCCAAGCAAAAGCAGGAAGCAUGGGGACCAUUUGUCUUCUUUUGGAAAUAGGAACCCGGCACCGGAGCUGGUGCAGGGCCUGGAGC